Molecule: ribosomal RNA, 254 nt
Filed under: uncultured bacterium
Lineage: Bacteria
Description: partial 16S ribosomal RNA
Rfam family: Bacterial small subunit ribosomal RNA
Source: RNAcentral
UACGAAGGGGGCUAGCGUUGCUCGGAAUCACUGGGCGUAAAGCGCACGUAGGCGGCUCCUUAAGUCAGGGGUGAAAUCCUGGAGCUCAACUCCAGAACUGCCUUUGAUACUGGGAAGCUUCGAGUCCGGAAGAGGUGAGUGGAACUGCGAGUGUAGAGGUGAAAUUCGUAGAUAUUCGCAAGAACACCAGUGGCGAAGGCGGCUCACUGGUCCGGUACUGACGCUGAGGUGCGAAAGCGUGGGGAGCAAACAGG